AUUGAACGCUGGCGGCAGGCCUAAUACAUGCAAGUCGAGCGGACGAAGGGAGCUCGUUCCUGGAUUCCGCGGCGGACGGGCGAGUAAUGCCUAGGUAUCUGCCCGGCCGUGGGGGAUAACGUCCGGUCACGGGCGCUAAUACCGCAUACGUUCUGAGGGUGAAAGGGGUGGAUCUUCGGACCAUACGGUAUUAGAUGAGCCUAGGACGGAUUAGCUAGUUGGUGGGGUAAAGGCCUACCAAGGCGACGAUCCGUAACUGCUAUGAGAGGAUGACCAGUCACACUGGAACUGAGACACGGUCCAGACUCCUACGGGAGGCAGCAGUGGGGAAUCUUGGACAAUGGGCGAAAGCCUGAUCCAGCCAUGCCGCGUGUGUGAAGAAGGUCUUCGGAUUGUAAAGCUCUUUUAGUUGGGAAGAAGAACAGUGAAAGAAUCCCUGGCUGUUUUGACGUUACCAACAGAGAAAGCCCCGGCUAACUACGUG
RNAcentral lists this ribosomal RNA (484 nucleotides) under uncultured bacterium. RNAcentral's name for it is "partial 16S ribosomal RNA". It matches the Rfam family "Bacterial small subunit ribosomal RNA", at positions 30 to 507 of the family's 1533-position model. The record is from RNAcentral.